UUUCGCAAUGCCCGAAAGGGUGACGAAGCGACGCCGCGUGCGGGAAGAAGGCCUUCGGGUUGUAAACCGCUGUCGGGAGUUAAGAAAUGUAAGAGUGUUAAUAGCGCUCUUACUUGACUAAGGCUCCGGAGGAAGCCACGGCUAACUCUGUGCCAGCAGCCGCGGUAAUACAGAGGCGGCAAGCGUUGUUCGGAAUUAUUGGGCGUAAAGAGCACGUAGGCGGCUUUGUGAGUCAGUUGUGAAAGCCUUCUGCUCAACGGAAGAACAACAUCUGAUACUGCAAGGCUAGAGUGCGGAAGGGGAGAGUGGAACUUCUGGUGGAGCGGUGAAAUGCGUAGAUAUCAGAAGGAACACCGGCGGCGAAGGCGACUCUCUGGUCCGUAACUGACGCUGAGUGUGCGAAAGCUAGGGGAGCAAACGGGAUUAGAUACCCCGGUAGUCCUAGCCGUAAACGAUGGGCACUAAGUAGAGGGGUUUU
This 478-nucleotide ribosomal RNA is filed under the name uncultured bacterium. Its description in RNAcentral is "bacterial SSU rRNA". It matches the Rfam family "Bacterial small subunit ribosomal RNA", at positions 364 to 832 of the family's 1533-position model. The record is from RNAcentral.